UGGGGAAUAUUGCACAAUGGGCGCAAGCCUGAUGCAGCCAUGCCGCGUGUGUGAAGAAGGCCUUCGGGUUGUAAAGCACUUUCAGCGAGGAGGAAGGGUAGUGUGUUAAUAGCACAUUGCAUUGACGUUACUCGCAGAAGAAGCACCGGCUAACUCCGUGCCAGCAGCCGCGGUAAUACGGAGGGUGCAAGCGUUAAUCGGAAUUACUGGACGUAAAGCGCACGCAGGCGGUUUGUUAAGUCAGAUGUGAAAUCCCCGCGCUUAACGUGGGAACUGCAUUUGAAACUGGCAAGCUAGAGUCUUGUAGAGGGGGGUAGAAUUCCAGGUGUAGCGGUGAAAUGCGUAGAGAUCUGGAGGAAUACCGGUGGCGAAGGCGGCCCCCUGGACAAAGACUGACGCUCAGGUGCGAAAGCGUGGGGAGCAAACA
Molecule: ribosomal RNA, 427 nt
Filed under: uncultured bacterium
Lineage: Bacteria
Description: partial 16S ribosomal RNA
Rfam family: Bacterial small subunit ribosomal RNA
Source: RNAcentral